AAAUUGAAGAGUUUGAUCAUGGCUCAGAUUGAACGCUGGCGGCAGGCCUAACACAUGCAAGUCGAACGGUAACAGAAAGCAGCUUGCUGCUUUGCUGACGAGUGGCGGACGGGUGAGUAAUGUCUGGGAAACUGCCUGAUGGAGGGGGAUAACUACUGGAAACGGUAGCUAAUACCGCAUAACGUCGCAAGACCAAAGAGGGGGACCUUCGGGCCUCUUGCCAUCGGAUGUGCCCAGAUGGGAUUAGCUUGUUGGUGGGGUAACGGCUCACCAAGGCGACGAUCCCUAGCUGGUCUGAGAGGAUGACCAGCCACACUGGAACUGAGACACGGUCCAGACUCCUACGGGAGGCAGCAGUGGGGAAUAUUGCACAAUGGGCGCAAGCCUGAUGCAGCCAUGCCGCGUGUAUGAAGAAGGCCUUCGGGUUGUAAAGUACUUUCAGCGGGGAGGAAGGGAGUAAAGUUAAUACCUUUGCUCAUUGACGUUACCCGCAGAAGAAGCACC
This 504-nucleotide ribosomal RNA is filed under the name Escherichia coli. Its description in RNAcentral is "bacterial SSU rRNA". It matches the Rfam family "Bacterial small subunit ribosomal RNA", at positions 1 to 494 of the family's 1533-position model. The record is from RNAcentral. Lineage: Bacteria; Pseudomonadati; Pseudomonadota; Gammaproteobacteria; Enterobacterales; Enterobacteriaceae.